AGCAGGGGUGGCAUGAGGAUGUCUCUUUUUGCCUGAAGGAGGACACACUCACACAGAUGAGCAAGAAACGGGCUUUCAGCUGAGAAGUGCACCCAGGUGUGAACAAAUGAGAUGGCGCCUGAACCCCCCUGGGACCUGCAGCUCUAGAUCUGUGAGGCCCAGGAAACCCCAAGACUUGGCAUCUCUAAAUCUACUGCAGUGCCUGGUGCAGUAGGUACUCAGGAAAUGGAUGGAUGGAUGGAUAAAUUGUUCUGGCUGAGGGCAUUACAAGAAGAAACAAGACUGCCAGACUUCAUGGCUUCGUGGAGCCCAUAUUCUAGUGUAGGGACCUUCAUCUUGCCUGCUACAAUGUGGUGCUCUGGACAUCUCUGCAGGGGGACAAGCAGUGUGGAAGACACAAGCUACUUCAGGGGCUAUGAUGACAGGCUGUUGGUCAACUGAUGAAUUAUUGGAAGUCUAUUACUGCAGGAACCAGGGGCCUAUUGUUUUAUGGAUACAAUUCAGGGGACCCAUGUAUUUGGAUGCAGAAAAUCAUCAUUUUAUUUUCAUAACCUCCUUCAUUUAUGGAUGCAGGAAUCAAAAACAUUUGUUAUCAAUACUUAUGACUAUGCUACUCAGAGAAAUCAGAGAUUUUUAAAAUUACAUAUUAAAGUUAUAUAUAUCCAAAA
Molecule: non-coding RNA, 668 nt
Organism: Heterocephalus glaber (naked mole-rat)
Lineage: Eukaryota; Metazoa; Chordata; Mammalia; Rodentia; Bathyergidae
Source: RefSeq, a predicted model, not a curated record